This 254-nucleotide ribosomal RNA is filed under the name uncultured bacterium. RNAcentral's name for it is "partial 16S ribosomal RNA". It matches the Rfam family "Bacterial small subunit ribosomal RNA", at positions 524 to 776 of the family's 1533-position model. The record is from RNAcentral.
UACGUAGGGUGCAAGCGUUAAUCGGAAUUACUGGGCGUAAAGCGUGCGCAGGCGGUUUUGUAAGUCUGUCGUGAAAUCCCCGGGCUCAACCUGGGAAUUGCGAUGGAGACUGCAAGGCUAGAAUCUGGCAGAGGGGGGAUAGAAUUCCACGUGUAGCAGUGAAAUGCGUAGAUAUGCGGAGGAACACCGAUGGCGAAGGCAAUCCCCUGGACCUGUACUGACGCUCAUGCACGAAAGCGUGGGGAGCAAACAGG